CUCUCUUUCUUCGUUGUUGUUAACGGGGAAACUUGCCGCCCGGUGGCUUUGUUUCUAGUGGAAGUCCGCGUGCUUUGAUACCCUCAGGGGGCACUUACAGGCUAGGUGGACACAGGGCUAGGGGAUAAGAAUGCAGCAGUGAACACGGUUCCUGCACUCAUGAAGCAAAUGUAUCCACUGUGGUACAAAAGAGACUGUAAAAAACAAACCCAAAUGGACAACAGGAAAAGACAGAAGCUGAUUGAGGUCCCAGCUUGGUAACAGUUUGAAGAGUUGCAGGACUGGCUGGAUGAGUACUGGCUGCAGCAAGUCAGGCUGCCAGGAUUCUUUAUGGCUGUUUCUGCUUCCACUACAGCUGAGUCAGAAAGGUCGCUGCCCAGUGGUGGCACUAGACGCAGUGGACCUGGCAAGCAAAUGUUUCCGCUAUUAGCUCUCAGCAACAGAGACUCAUUUAUGGUCACCUUGGAAAUCUGGGCUUAUCGAUCUACAGCCCAAGUCUGCUGAGAAGCUGGAGCUUAAUAAAGGGGAAACCUGAGAGCUGUUCAAGCCCCAAACAUUUUCCACUUCUGCGUCACCUCUGCUGUCUGUUAGCAGAGUGGAGGAGAAAAUACACCAGCACAAACAAUGCGAAAAAAUAGUUACUCUAUUCAUUAAAAGCUGUAACUUCCAGAUUGGACUUGAGAAGCAAUUAAGCAACAGAGGCACCUCGUCUACUAUCUGUAUUCAGGCAUGCUCAUGAGAACACGCUGCUCCAGCUGGACUUAGAGGAAGCCGGUGCAUCACAGGCAUUCCUGACAGAGUCUCGUGGUCCUGCUGGUCCACUCACUGGUACCCAGUCCUCCUCAUCCUCGGGGGUAGGUUCCAAGACCCCCAGGGGAUGCCUGAAACUGCGGAUGGAAUAUCAGCACAUUGAUGGACAUGUGGACUAUUUGGAUUCAGAAGACCUGGUUUGAGCUCAGCUCUGCUGCCAACUGUCUGUGUGACCUUAAGUAAAAUUAUCUCCUCUCUC
Molecule: non-coding RNA, 1009 nt
Filed under: Pan troglodytes (chimpanzee)
Lineage: Eukaryota; Metazoa; Chordata; Mammalia; Primates; Hominidae
Source: RNAcentral